GGUUCGAUCCUGGCUCAGAUUGAACGCUGGCGGGAUGCUACACAUGCAAGUCGAACGGCAGCACGGACUUCGGUCUGGUGGCGAGUGGCGAACGGGUGAGUAAUGUAUCGGAACGUGCCUAGUAGCGGGGGAUAACUACGCGAAAGCGUAGCUAAUACCACAUACGCCCUUCGAGAAAGCGGGGGACCUUCGGGCCUCGCACUAUUAGAAGCGGCCGAUAUCGGAUUAGCUAGUUGGUGGGGUAACGGCUCGCAAGGCGACGAUCCGUAGCUGGUUUUGAGAGGACGACCAGCCACACUGGGACUGAGACACGGCCCAGACUCUGCGGGAGGCGGCAGUGGGGAAUUUUGGACAAUGGGGGGAAACCUGAUCCAGCCAUCCCGCGUGUGCGAUGAAGGCCUUCGGGUUGUAAAAAAGCACUUUUGGCAGGAAAGAAACGGCACGGGAUAAUACCCCACGUGCAACUGACGAAACACCUGCAGAAUAAGCACCGGCUAACUACGUGCCAGCAGCCGCGGUAAUACGUAGGGUGCAAGCGUUAAUCGGAAUUACUGGGCGUAAAGCGUGCGCAGGCGGUUCGGAAAGAAAGAUGUGAAAUCCCAGAGCUUAACUUUGGAACUGCAUUUUUAACUACCGAACAGAGUGUGUCAGAGGGAGGUGGAAUUCCGCGUGUAGCAGUGAAAUGCGUAGAUAUGCGGAGGAACACCGAUGGCGAAGGCAGCCUCCUGGGAUAACACUGACGCUCAUGCGAAAGCGUGGGGAGCAAACAGGAUUAGGCCCUGGUAGUCCACGCCCUAAACGAUGUCAACUAGCUGUUGGGGCCUUCGGAGCCUUGGUAGCGCAGCUAACGCGUGAAGUUGACCGCCUGGGGAGUACGGUCGCAAGAUUAAAACUCAAAGGAAUUGACGGGGACCCGCACAAGCGGUGGAUGAUGUGGAUUAAUUCGAUGCAACGCGAAAAAACCUUACCUACCCUUGACAUGUCUGGAAUCCCGAAGAUUUGGGAGUGCUCGCAAGAGAACCGGAACACAGGUGCUGCAUGGCUGUCGUCAGCUCGCGUCGUGAGAUGUUGGGUUAAAUCCACCAACGAGCGCAACCCUUGUCAUUAGUUGCUACGAAGGGCGCUCUAAUGCGGGACUACCGGUGACAAACCGGAGAAGGUGAGGAUGACGUCGGGGCCCUCAUGGCCCUUAUGGGUAGGGCUUCACACGUCAUACAAUGGUCGGGACAGAGGGUCGCCAACCCGCGAGGAGCCAAUCCCAGAAACCCGAUCGUAGUCGGAUCGCAGUCUGCAACUCGACUGCGUGAAGUCGGAAUCGCUAGUAAUCGCGGAUCAGCAUGUCAUGAUGAAUACGUUC
This 1357-nucleotide ribosomal RNA is filed under the name uncultured Bordetella sp. RNAcentral's name for it is "partial 16S-23S ribosomal RNA intergenic spacer". It matches the Rfam family "Bacterial small subunit ribosomal RNA", at positions 10 to 1373 of the family's 1533-position model. Lineage: Bacteria; Pseudomonadati; Pseudomonadota; Betaproteobacteria; Burkholderiales; Alcaligenaceae. The record is from RNAcentral.